GGAGGGGUGGCCGAGUUGGUCGAAGGCGCGCUCCUGCUAAGGGCGAGACGGCCGAAGGGUCGUCCGCGGGUUCGAAUCCCGUCCCCUCCA
Molecule: transfer RNA, 90 nt
Filed under: Longispora fulva
Lineage: Bacteria; Bacillati; Actinomycetota; Actinomycetes; Micromonosporales; Micromonosporaceae
Rfam family: tRNA
About the family: Transfer RNA (tRNA) molecules are approximately 80 nucleotides in length. Their secondary structure includes four short double-helical elements and three loops (D, anti-codon, and T loops).
Source: Rfam by way of RNAcentral